UUUGAGAGUUUGAUCCUGGCUCAGGAUGAACGCUGGCGGCGUGCCUAACACAUGCAAGUUGAGCGAUUUACUUCGGUAAAGAGCGGCGGACGGGGGAGGAACGCGUGGGUAACCUACCCUGUACACACGGAUAACAUACCGAAAGGGAUGCUAAUACGGGAUAAUAUAUUUGAGAGGCAUCUCUUAAAUAUCAAAGGUGAGCCAGUACAGGAUGGACCCGCGUCUGAUUAGCUAGUUGG
Molecule: ribosomal RNA, 239 nt
Filed under: Clostridioides difficile
Lineage: Bacteria; Bacillati; Bacillota; Clostridia; Peptostreptococcales; Peptostreptococcaceae
Description: partial 16S ribosomal RNA
Rfam family: Bacterial small subunit ribosomal RNA
Source: RNAcentral